Molecule: ribosomal RNA, 750 nt
Filed under: uncultured bacterium
Lineage: Bacteria
Description: bacterial SSU rRNA
Rfam family: Bacterial small subunit ribosomal RNA
Source: RNAcentral
GGGGAGGCUUUACUGCAGUCGAACGGGGAUGCCAUUUUUGAAGCGAUUAGCUUGCUAAGAGUGGAAAUGUUGGCAUCUUAUUGGCGGACGGGUGAGUAACGCGUGGGGAACCUGCCCUGUACAGGGGGAUAACACUUAGAAAUAGGUGCUAAUACCGCAUAAGCGCACAGUAUCGCAUGAUACAGUGUGAAAAACUCCGGUGGUACAGGAUGGACCCGCGUCUGAUUAGCUGGUUGGCGGGGUAACGGCCCACCAAGGCGACGAUCAGUAGCCGGCCUGAGAGGGUGAACGGCCACAUUGGGACUGAGACACGGCCCAAACUCCUACGGGAGGCAGCAGUGGGGAAUAUUGGACAAUGGGGGGAACCCUGAUCCAGCGACGCCGCGUGAGUGAAGAAGUAUUUCGGUAUGUAAAGCUCUAUCAGCAGGGAAGAAAAUGACGGUACCUGACUAAGAAGCCCCGGCUAACUACGUGCCAGCAGCCGCGGUAAUACGUAGGGGGCAAGCGUUAUCCGGAUUUACUGGGUGUAAAGGGAGCGUAGACGGUGCAGCAAGUCUGAUGUGAAAGGUCGGGGCCCAACCCCGGGACUGCAUUGGAAACUGUUGAACUGGAGUACAGGAGAGGUAAGCGGAAUUCCUAGUGUAGCGGUGAAAUGCGUAGAUAUUAGGAGGAACACCAGUGGCGAAGGCGGCUUACUGGACUGUAACUGACGUUGAGGCUCGAAAGCGUGGGGAGCAAACAGGAUUAGAU